GACGAACGCUGGCGGCGUGCUUAACACAUGCAAGUCGAACGGAAAGGCCCGGCUUUUGCUGCGUGCUCGAUUGGCGAACGGGUGUGUAACACGUGAGUAACCUCCCCUUGACUUUGGGAUAUCUUCACGAAACUGGGGCUAAUAUCGGAUAUGAUCUCCUGCUGCAUGGUGGGGGUUGGUAAGUUUCGGCGGUUGGGGAUGGACUCGCGGCUUCUCAGCUUGUUGGGGGGGUAGUUGCGUACCAAGGUUUUGACGGGUAGGCGGCAUGGGAGGGUGACCGGCCACAAUAGUACUGAGGGAGGCCGCAGACGGGUACGGGAGGCAGCAGUGGAAAAUAUUGCGCAAUGGGCGGGAGCCUGAUGCAGAAGCGCCCCGUUCGGGAUGACCGCCUACGAGUGAUAAACCGCUGUCGACUGUAACAUGGCGUGAGUGACGGUAAUGGAUAAAGAAGCACCGGCUAACUACGUG
This 468-nucleotide ribosomal RNA is filed under the name uncultured bacterium. Its description in RNAcentral is "partial 16S ribosomal RNA". It matches the Rfam family "Bacterial small subunit ribosomal RNA", at positions 28 to 507 of the family's 1533-position model. The record is from RNAcentral.